UUCUCUCAUUCUGCAGCACUUCUGGGGUCCUGUGGCCAACUGGGGCCUGCCCAUUGCUGCUUUUAAUGACAUGAAGAAAACUCCAGAGAUCAUCAGUGGGAGAAUGACAUUUGCUAUUGUUUCGCAGGGUUUUGGGGCAGAAGGCAGAAGGGGAAGUGAGGAGGAGCGAUGCUGUAAGCUGGCCGACGGGACGGACCCCGAGCGGGAGUCCGAGGCCCAGGGUCUUUGGCGGGGAGAGGAGACGAAGACAGACUCGUGUGGAGCGUCUGGUCGACCACCGUGGUUGGUCCCAGGCGGCGGGUCGGAGGGGAUCGAAUGGUGGAAAGAAGACUCCGUUAAUUGAGCUCCAACUGUUGUGCAUGAAGUGUUUGAACUCCUUAAGUUUGGCGCUUUUUACUUCCCUUUUAUAUUUUAUCUCUAUUAAUUACAUAGUUCCAAUAAGAUCUAUAAAGUGUAAUCAUUUAAUUGCAUAUGGUGUAUUGUCUGUUAUUUGGCAGGGUGGGGUACAUCACACAGCAUCCACACAAACUUGAUUAUCCAGUUUGGUGGGGCCGAAGCCUGCUCCCCCUAGAUGUAAGCGAGUUGAGCGAGCCUGAGGCUUACCAGUGGCUACAGUAAUAUAACUUAUCCUCAUUUAUUUCUUGUUUAAUCACAUUCACAUUUGUCAGGAAUAUGGGCCACACAGAAUUUUGAGCAGAGUAACUGCCUUUCUUCCUUGUUGUCAUGGGCUAGUUCUUAUAAUUAACAAGUUAUCAAAUCUAUUCAUAUUUUUAUUGAUUUUAUAUGGACUGUCAGAUUUUAUUUCAAUCUGUUCUUUACACUUCCUCACAUUAUAUACUAGAUAACAGUAGAUGACUGAAGUAGGUAACAGUAGAUCUACUGGGAGUUUAAGGUAAAAUUGUUAAUACUUUGCUAAGGUCUAUAUUAGAUCCGUUGGAUAAAAGCUUUUGACCUUUUGGGUGAGACUGACAGUUUUUAGAAGGUUUUUUAAAAUGGGUUUUGAGCAUUGAAAGUGGUUAUUUAACUUGUAAUCUUGCUUUAUAGACAGGUUUUGUCUGACUUUAAAAUAAUUUGGUUUCUAACUUGCAAUUGAUUCAGUCUAAUGAUAAACACUGUAGUUGAUUGUGCUUUGAUUUGAGUUUGAGCCUAAUGUUGGUUUUAUUCAGAAUCAGGUUUAUUAUCACUGGCAUGUGAUGUGAAAUUUGUUAACAGCAGUUCAAUGCAAUACAUAAUAUAGAAGAAAAAAAUAAGUAAUUCUUAUGCAGUAUACUUUAUACAGUAUACAUAUAUUGAAUAGAUUAAAAAUCGUGCAAAAAAACCCAGAAAUACUAUAUAUUUUUUUAAAAAGUCAGGUAGUGUCCAAGGGUUCAAUGUCCAUUUAGGAAUCGGAUGACAGAGGGGAAGAAGCUGUUUCUGAAUCGCUGAGUGUGUACCUUUAGGCUUCUGUACCUCCUACCUGAUGGUAACAGUGAGAAAAGAUUGACAUCUUUCAAGAGUUUAGCAUUUGCUCCAUAACAUGAAGGCCUGUUGUGAACAAUACACUACUUUUCCUGUAAUAAUGACCUGUUUCUGUUCUUCU
This is an RNA transcript of Mobula hypostoma (lesser devil ray), 1579 nucleotides long. It is a transcript of the gene named mitochondrial pyruvate carrier 1, with no coding region annotated. Lineage: Eukaryota; Metazoa; Chordata; Chondrichthyes; Myliobatiformes; Myliobatidae. The transcript has 2 exons. The record is from RefSeq and is a predicted model, not a curated record.